UCUUUAAAAAAGUUAAAAUUUAAUUCAAAUAUUAUUUUAGAAUCAUUAAUUUCAUAGAUUUCGCAAACAGAAAAAGUCAUUUAAUUAAUAAAUUUCAACUUUUUCCACGCGAGCCAUUUGACAUAUUACAUUUCCAUGAAAGAUAUCAAAUGAAAUGACGAAGGUUGUGCGCAAAUACAUUGUGUUUUAUGGAAGGCAGAGUGCGCAAAAAAGGGCUUGGAAGGCUUAUCAUUUAUUGAAAUAAUUCACAAAAACAUUGCACUUCAACUGAACUUAAAUCACAUAUGAAAGAACAGCAUACUAUACAUUUUGGAGUUCAUAAACACUUUUUAAUUAAAUGUUGCGUAACGCAUGGCUUAUAUUUCGGUAUAUUUUCAUUUAUCUCAAAUGUGUGUUAUACGGAAUAAUGUUUGGGUUUGAAAAGUGUAAGUUUAAUAUAUGACGGACGGCGAAUUCGAGCUUAAAUUUCAAAUAUUGCUAUGCAUUCCACUGUUGCUCUAUAGAAUCUUUGGAAUCGACUCAAGCAAAAUUAAAAAAACAUAAAUGGCCUGAGUCUUAAGAUAAUUUGAAUUCUCUGUAUCGUCAUUCUAAACUCAAGUAUAAAUUUGAUACACAAAAAAUGUUACAGAUCUCUUUAGAAUAUAUUCAAAAUUGAUUAUUUGAGAUUUUUCGAGAUUUUUAAAAAAAUAUACACAAAAAUUAAAAGUCCUCUCUUUACAAUAAUGAACAUGUAUGGAUGUAUGUAAAUAUGUGUUUAAAAAUAUAUUAUAUAGAAAUUUAGGGGUUUAAAAUAAUUUUGGUAGAUAAAAAUGGAUACGGUUUUUAUGUAGUAUUACUAGUUAAUAAACUGUAAAUUUGUAAGUUCAAUUUUUGUUAAAGAAGUAAUGCAAAAGUUUCCAAGUUGAACAGAACUUUGCAUUUUCACAGGAAAAUGAUUCCCGUGAUUUGCUCGGGAAACAACUUUUGUUUCUAAUAAUUUCUUGUCGCUUUUAAAAUAGAAAAUUUGGGCAGAAUAAAAAUUAAAAAGGCGAAUAGAGAAAUAUAAGGUAAUGAAGUAAAUCAAACAAAAUAGUACUCAUUGCAAACCGACAUAAAUUUAAUAAAAUUAAAUUAAUAUUUUUUCGUUGGUGCAUAAAUACAAAUUUCCAAAGGCCUUUACAGUUUAUUGGAAAACAUAACGAAUCUAAUAAUAUUAAUAUAUUUCAUUUCAUUUUCAUUUAUAUUUUCAGGGGAAGGACCUACCUUUUCUUAGACUGUUCACCCCUCACGCUUACUGCUUUGCUGCUCGAACUCUCUUUUAAUUUGCAUUUUCAAAUCGUUAACACCAUGACCAAUAUAAUAAAGCACGCAAUCAUUACACGCCUUACUUAGCGGCACUGCUUUGGUCAUGCAUCAUUAAUAUAAACACACAGAACUGUUGGCUAUUUCAUGCCUUUCCAUCGGACAUCAUCAUUGAACACAAGAACCAAAUUUUUAUACAGAUAUAUAUUAAGUAUUGUUUGAACUUCCGUGUUCCGGUUUUCACUGCACUUCCGUUCGUAUGCAUCAACCGCGACUCGACACCACUCAACUAAACUGAAUUCGAUGCAAAGCCCAAAAACAAGCCCAACAGUCCAAACUGGCAACCACAAUAGCAGCACGGAGACCAACAACGAAAGAAUUCUCCCGAAAAGCCUGUGAGCAGGGUCGAACUCUGUUGGCGCUGCAAAACGGCUUACAAUACACGAAGCUGAACUAGCAUUAGCAGCGAUGACGGCGAGCGAAUGACCGAAUGGCCAAACGACGAAAUGUUAGCUUCAGCAGUGAUCUCGCAAUCGUCCAUUAACAGCAGUGCUUUAAACAGUGGCGGCGCUGUUAGCCAAACAGGAUGUAUGACCGCGUUGAGGAUGACUACUAUUCUUGUUGGCAGUGAAGGAAUUGGCAGUGUUAACCGAUCCAAGUUUUAAAAGAACUACUUUAGCGGCAUAAAAUGCACAGCACAUGUAAACACGACAGUGUUAAGUUCACAACUCACUGAAUUAAACUAUGCCUUACACGAGUUAGAGUUGCAAUUGGGUCUAUACGAAACAAAACACUGUAGCAUACUUUACUGCGCUGCUGAGAAUCAUCAUUAUGUUUCCGAACGUAUUUUUUACGUUUGUGACAAACAAUUUGAAUACUCUAUUAUUUAACGGUCAUCGGCAGAUAGUCAUACACACACAUUCACAGAUUAUUGAAAGUCGUAUUAGUUCCACAAUUUCUUGUUCAUCUCGUACGUUGGACUCUACUUUAAAACACUCACACACUCUAAGCACUUGACAAGCUUACGAGUAGCGCACAGCUACCGUGACAUGUGCGUGCACGCGGAAACACAAGUGAAAACUGAAACUGUUCUACAGCUCGAACAUGGAUCGGCUCUGUGUCGAUGGAAUGUUGCAGUAUUGUUUGUGAUGGGAAAAUGCACACACAACACACAAGCGUUUUCACACUCGCACAGCUUUCUGCUAAUAUUAGCACAGUGAAUAUGGUAGACGAACUAGCGUGAGCGUGCUAUUGAAGAAAGUUCACAAAUAAGAACAAAAUGCACACAAAGACCAAACGGAGAGCAGCAAUGCCUUUGCAGCACAACACAAACAAACAGCGUUGAAAUACGCCGCGAACGAAUACGAAACUGUUUCGUUCGCCAGGUGCUCCGAUACGCAUACAUAAGCGACGCAAAAUAUGUGAGAGCAGGGAGGGAGCUUUUACUCUGAGAAGAAAGCCACUCUCCGUUUACAGUGUAUAAGAUAACUUACUAUAUGUUGGCAUUAUGUGCUUUCAGCGUCAAUAAGUUUAAUCCACUGUUAAUGGAACAAUAUUUGACUGUAUAAUUAGGUAACAGAUAUGCAUUGCAUUAUUAUUUUUUAAUUCAAGAUGCAAAGAAUCCAAUUGCAUUGCUAUGCAACUAAUAAGAAAUAAAAAUGCAAGAAUUCCUACAAAAUGAUAAUCGCAAAAUA
This is a long non-coding RNA of Zeugodacus cucurbitae (melon fly), 2975 nucleotides long. RefSeq lists it as uncharacterized. The record is from RefSeq and is a predicted model, not a curated record. Lineage: Eukaryota; Metazoa; Arthropoda; Insecta; Diptera; Tephritidae. The transcript is spliced from 3 exons.